GCGCCUCUAGCUCAAUGGUAGAGCAAUUGACUCUUAAUCAAUGGGUUCCGGGUUCGAGUCCCGGGGGGCGCACGA
Molecule: transfer RNA, 75 nt
Filed under: Gulosibacter molinativorax
Lineage: Bacteria; Bacillati; Actinomycetota; Actinomycetes; Micrococcales; Microbacteriaceae
Description: tRNA-Lys
Rfam family: tRNA
About the family: Transfer RNA (tRNA) molecules are approximately 80 nucleotides in length. Their secondary structure includes four short double-helical elements and three loops (D, anti-codon, and T loops).
Source: RNAcentral